This 69-nucleotide transfer RNA is filed under the name Dipodomys ordii (Ord's kangaroo rat). It matches the Rfam family "tRNA". Rfam says of the family: Transfer RNA (tRNA) molecules are approximately 80 nucleotides in length. Their secondary structure includes four short double-helical elements and three loops (D, anti-codon, and T loops). Further hydrogen bonds mediate the characteristic L-shaped molecular structure. tRNAs have two regions of fundamental functional importance: the anti-codon, which is responsible for specific mRNA codon recognition, and the 3' end, to which the tRNAs corresponding amino acid is attached (by aminoacyl-tRNA synthetases). tRNAs cope with the degeneracy of the genetic code in two manners: having more than one tRNA (with a specific anti-codon) for a particular amino acid; and 'wobble' base-pairing, i.e. permitting non-standard base-pairing at the 3rd anti-codon position. The record is from Rfam by way of RNAcentral. Lineage: Eukaryota; Metazoa; Chordata; Mammalia; Rodentia; Heteromyidae.
GGGAAUGUGGCUUAGUGGUAGAGUGCUUGCCUAGCAUGCAUGAAACCUGGGUUUGAUUCCUCAGUACCG